CUCUCUGCCUGUACAGCCCGGCCAGUGCUAAAGACAUACUGAUGUAUGUGGGGCGUGUAGAGGAAAAAAGAGGUGGAGUGUGUUUAUGUGUGUGUGUGCUGGUUGUGAGUCUUGGUGGGAAGCAGGCAUGGAGGGUAAUGGCCUCUCUGCAGGGUACAUGGGUGGGUUAGAAGGGCCCAGGAUCUCGUUUGGUCUUAUUAAAGCCAUGAUUAGGUAAUAAUACUCCUGCACGCCCCUGGAGAGGUGAUGGUGGUGGUGGUGGGUUGGUUUGGGGAGGAAGGGGGGACAUAAAAUGUUACUGGUUUUUAUGGCAGCAUCAGGAAGAGGAGGAGUGCAAGGAGGAGGCGUUGCUUGGAUGUCAGGUUUUCCAGCAUUGUAUCAGAUCUGUUACAAGCAGCAGAGGGAAGACUGUCAGAGCUCAUCUGAGACUGUCUUUGUGAUUACAGACGUCUGCUACAAGCAACAAAACUGUCAUCAGAGUUUGAACAAAACUUAUCAACCCACAUCGAGAGACACAACAUCCAAGAGGCCGUGAGCAGUCAUCAGGUCAGCUAAACAGGUGCAGGUGUCCACUCCUGAAAGCAAUUGGAAUAAAUCAAAUGUUCCUCACUUUGCAUGAAUAAACAACAGAUUUUAUCUUCACAUCAGUCAGAAAGACAGAAACUGUGCACAAGAACAUAAAUACCUGG
This is a long non-coding RNA of Acanthochromis polyacanthus (spiny chromis), 689 nucleotides long. RefSeq lists it as uncharacterized. The record is from RefSeq and is a predicted model, not a curated record. The transcript is spliced from 4 exons. Lineage: Eukaryota; Metazoa; Chordata; Actinopteri; Pomacentridae.